This is a long non-coding RNA of Wasmannia auropunctata (little fire ant), 272 nucleotides long. RefSeq lists it as uncharacterized. Lineage: Eukaryota; Metazoa; Arthropoda; Insecta; Hymenoptera; Formicidae. The record is from RefSeq and is a predicted model, not a curated record. The transcript has 2 exons.
AAAUAAAAAUAACAAUAAAUAUAAUAAAUAUGUUACAGCACUGUAUCUAACAUAAUCGAUGAGAUUGACUCAAAUGUAUUAAUAACGAUCAACGAUGAUGAUGAAGAUAACGCAGAUAGCCAAACAGAUUCGAAUAAAGGAAGAAAAAGAAAAAAAAAUGAUAACAGUGCAAUAGACAGAGUGGUCGAUGCCAUAUGUAAAGAAGACAGAAUAGUUCUUCCUCCGCCACCAGAACCUAACGAAAUGGAUUCAUUUUUAUCUUUAAUAGGAUU